This is a long non-coding RNA of Cornus florida, 511 nucleotides long. RefSeq lists it as uncharacterized. NCBI's taxonomy places the organism in Eukaryota, Viridiplantae, Streptophyta, Magnoliopsida, Cornales, Cornaceae. The record is from RefSeq and is a predicted model, not a curated record. The transcript has 5 exons.
AUACAGAAACUCACUCUCUGAUAGCAUCAAUUUUACAUAUUUGUGGAUGGUUUAGGAUUUUCUAACUCUGCCUACUGCGCUGUUUGAGGGUUUUACCGAUUUGCAAUGCAGAACUGAAAGGCAGUCCUCAAAAGUACCAACAAGAUGUGUGAGACUGUAGCAGUAAAGACUGGGUUACGUUUUUGCAGGGAUUACAUUGCGAUUGGAUGUGUUGUUGGUGAAAAACUUGGUCUCGGGUUGUCUCGACUACAGGAUAGGAUUGAGGAAAGGAUCGAAAAGAGGUGGACUGAUUGGAAAAAAGGUAAAGAGAAUGGUGGUGUGUAAAGACAAGUUUAUGGUAAUGAGCUGGAAUUACGAGUACGGGUGACCUAUACUCAGCAGAAAACUAUUAAAAUGUGUUACGACUUGUAAUGGAUCGAUGUUGGUAAGAAUUUUAACCGGGCUCAGGAUUUGCAAGCUGAUGUGAAUAAAUUCUUUUUGGCUUGAAAGAUUAUUUUAGUGUGUAUAUAUG